GACGAACGCUGGCGGCGUGCUUAACACAUGCAAGUCGAACGGUAAGGCCCUUCGGGGUACACGAGUGGCGAACGGGUGAGUAACACGUGGGUGAUCUGCCCUGCACUUCGGGAUAAGCCUGGGAAACUGGGUCUAAUACCGGAUAGGACCACUGCCUGCAUGGGUGGUGGUGGAAAGCUUUUGCGGUGUGGGAUGGGCCCGCGGCCUAUCAGCUUGUUGGUGGGGGGAUGGCCUACCAAGGCGACGACGGGUAGCCGGCCUGAGAGGGUGACCGGCCACCCUGGGACUGAGAUACGGCCCAGACGCCUACGGGAGGCAGCAGUGGGGAAUAUUGCACAAUGGGCGCAAGCCUGAUGCAGCGACGCCGCGUGAGGGAUGACGGCCUUCGGGUUGUAAACCUCUUUCAGCACCGACGAAGCGCAAGUGACGGUAGGUGCAGAAGAAGGACCGGCCAACUACGUGCCAGCAGCCGCCGUAA
RNAcentral lists this ribosomal RNA (478 nucleotides) under uncultured bacterium. RNAcentral's name for it is "partial 16S ribosomal RNA". It matches the Rfam family "Bacterial small subunit ribosomal RNA", at positions 28 to 523 of the family's 1533-position model. The record is from RNAcentral.